UGAGGAAUAUUGGUCAAUGGGCGUAAGCCUGAACCAGCCAAGUCGCGUGAGGGAUGAAGGUUCUAUGGAUCGUAAACCUCUUUUAUAAAGGAAUAAAGUCGGGUAUGGAUACCCGUUUGCAUGUACUUUAUGAAUAAGGAUCGGCUAACUCCGUGCCAGCAGCCGCGGUAAUACGGAGGAUCCGAGCGUUAUCCGGAUUUAUUGGGUUUAAAGGGAGCGUAGAUGGAUGUUUAAGUCAGUUGUGAAAGUUUGCGGCUCAACCGUAAAAUUGCAGUUGAUACUGGAUAUCUUGAGUGCAGUUGAGGCAGGCGGAAUUCGUGGUGUAGCGGUGAAAUGCUUAGAUAUCACGAAGAACUCCGAUUGCGAAGGCAGCCUGCUAAGCUGCAACUGACAUUGAGGCUCGAAAGUGUGGGUAUCAAACAGG
Molecule: ribosomal RNA, 424 nt
Filed under: uncultured bacterium
Lineage: Bacteria
Description: bacterial SSU rRNA
Rfam family: Bacterial small subunit ribosomal RNA
Source: RNAcentral